RNAcentral lists this ribosomal RNA (392 nucleotides) under uncultured bacterium. RNAcentral's name for it is "bacterial SSU rRNA". It matches the Rfam family "Bacterial small subunit ribosomal RNA", at positions 382 to 787 of the family's 1533-position model. The record is from RNAcentral.
UCUGAUGCAGCGACGCCGCGUGGGCGAUGAAGGCUUUCGGAUUGUAAAGCCCUUUUCUGGGUGACGAGAAAGGACGGUACCACAGGAAUAAGUGUCGGCUAACUACGUGCCAGCAGCCGCGGUAAUACGUAGGACGCAAACGUUAUCCGGAGUUACUGGGCGUAAAGCGCGCGCAGGCGGUUGGGUAAGUUACCUGUGAAAGCUCCCGGCUAAACCGGGAGAAGCCAGCCGAUACUGCCUAACUAGAGAGAGACAGAGGGAAGUAGAAUUCCGGGUGUAGUGGUGAAAUGCGUAUAUUUCGGGAGGAAUACCAGUGGCAAAAGCGGCUUCCUGGGGCCUCAACCUGACGCUGAAGCGCCGAAACCUGGGGUAACCAAAGGGAUUAAAACCCC